GCGGGCGUAGCUCAACUGGUUAGAGCGCCGGGUUGUGGUCCCGGAGGCUGUGGGUUCAAGUCCCAUCGCUCGCCCCA
This 77-nucleotide transfer RNA is filed under the name Alphaproteobacteria bacterium. RNAcentral describes it as "tRNA-His". It matches the Rfam family "tRNA". From Rfam's summary of the family: Transfer RNA (tRNA) molecules are approximately 80 nucleotides in length. Lineage: Bacteria; Pseudomonadati; Pseudomonadota; Alphaproteobacteria. The record is from RNAcentral. RNAcentral also lists the same sequence under 1 other name.